RNAcentral lists this unclassified non-coding RNA (395 nucleotides) under Hevea brasiliensis (rubber tree). Lineage: Eukaryota; Viridiplantae; Streptophyta; Magnoliopsida; Malpighiales; Euphorbiaceae. The record is from RNAcentral.
UGAAGAUCGGCUCCGCUUUCCUCUCUGUAAGUGGAUUGCGUUUUGUAGCACCAGGUGUUUGGGCUGGAAAGAGAUUCACUUUUUUUUCAAGUGGCAAAGGAGUGACUUGGCUGAUACAAUCUUUCUUUUCGGUUUGAUCUGAAUGCUUGUGUUGUUUGCAUCUUUGUCCUUUGAGUGAGGCUUGGGCUAUGGUGUUGUCUUCUGCUUUUGUUGCCUGGUGGUGCUAGUGAUUUUGAUUGUCUCUAAGUCUGUCAAGUGAGGCCACUGUCGCGACUGGCGAGGGUAGGGUGAAGGAAUCUGAAUUGUUUGGCUAGAGUUUGGUUUAUGUAGUCUUCCAUUUAUGGACCGUGGACCGCCCUCUAGAGUUGAUCAUGGGGUUUAAUGACUUGUUUGGU